GGGGGGGGACUGGAGAAGGAGAGGGGGAGGGCGAGAGGCAGUACAAAGAGAAUGGUACAGUAGAGACAUUCCUUACCAAGUCAGCUUUAAUAGCAUAGAGAGGACCACACACACACACACACACACACACAACGUAUCUGGAUGGAUAGAAGCAGCCUUCUGUACGGCCUAAUCAGGAAGCCCCAGUAGAACCUCAUCCAGGGGCUCGCCUGAGAAAUCCUCCCCAACGUUAGAGGCUUAGAGGGGGGAGAUUCAUUCCCCGUGGUCCCACACCACCCUUCAAGUUUCCAGUUUGAAUGUCAUGUGCACAAGUCCAGUGGAAUGCCCUUUCUUCCCAGCUCUAACCCCGACAACGCAGUAAUCAAUAUCACAUCCAUACAAAAAUAACAAGGUAGAACAAAAACACCCAAGAAAUAAGAAUAAUCUAUAUACAGGGUCAGUUCAGUACCAUAUUAACAAUGUGCAGGGAUACUGGAGUGAUGGAGGUAGAUAUGUAUAGUGAUGGAGGUAGAUAUGUAUAGGGGGAAGGGGCCAGGGAUACUGGAGUGAUGGAGGUAGAUAUGUAUAGGGGGAAGGGGGCAGGGAUACUGGAGUGAUGGAGGUAGAUAUGUAUAGUGAUGGAGGUAGAUAUGUAUAGGGGGAAGGGGCCAGGGAUACUGGAGUGAUGGAGGUAGAUAUGUAUAGGGGGAAGGAGACAGGGAUACUGGAGUGAUGGAGGUAGAUAUGGAUGUCUAUUUAAAACAGAUUGUUAUAUACAAGCAUUUCACUACACCCACAAUAACAUCUACUAAACACUUGUCUGUGACCAAUGAAAUUGUAUUUGAUUUAUUUAUAGGGGUAAGGGGACUAGGCAUCAGGAUAUAUGAUAAACCUAUUCCCCCUCAGGAAACUAAAAAGAUUUGGCAUGGGUCCUGAGAUCCUCAAAAGGUUCUACAGCUGCACCAUCGAGAGCAUCCUGGUUGCAUCACUGCCUCGUAUGGCAACUGCUCAGCCUCUGACCGCAAGGCAUUACAGAGGGUAGUGCGUACGGCCCAGUACAUCACCAGGGUCAAAACUCCUGCCAUCCACGACCUCUAUACCAGGCGGUGUCAGAGGAAGGCCCUAAAAAUUGUCAAAGACCCCAGGUACCCCAGUCAUAGACUGUUCUCUCUACUACCGCAUGGCAAGCGGUAUCGGUGCGCCAAGUCUAGGACAAAAAAGCUUCUCAACCAUUUUUAACCCCAAGACUCCUGAACAGGUAAUCAAAUGGACUAUUUGCAUUGUGUGUUAACAAAAAAAGGCUGUGAAAAAAAUGGCAUUGUUGUUUAUCUACUUGAUCGUACACAACAUUUAAUUAAAAUUGUUUCAAAGAAACAAAAACGCCAUGAAGAAAUCGGUAUUUUAUUCAAAAGCAUGUCACAAUUAUUGAAACCCCUGAAUU
This is a long non-coding RNA of Oncorhynchus tshawytscha (Chinook salmon), 1420 nucleotides long. The record is from Ensembl. NCBI's taxonomy places the organism in Eukaryota, Metazoa, Chordata, Actinopteri, Salmoniformes, Salmonidae.